GACGAACGCUGGCGGCGUGCUUAACACAUGCAAGUCGAACGGAAAGGCCCUGCUUUUGUGGGGUGCUCGAGUGGCGAACGGGUGAGUAACACGUGAGUAACCUGCCCUUGACUUUGGGAUAACUUCAGGAAACUGGGGCUAAUACCGGAUAGGAGCUCCUGCUGCAUGGUGGGGGUUGGAAAGUUUCGGCGGUUGGGGAUGGACUCGCGGCUUAUCAGCUUGUUGGUGGGGUAGUGGCUUACCCAGGCUUUGACGGGUAGCCGGCCUGGGAGGGUGGCCGGGCACAAUGGGACUGAGAGACGGACCAGACGCCUACGGGAGGCAGCAGGGGGGAAUAUGGCACAAUGGGAGGAAGCCUGAUGCAGCAACGCCGCGUGCGGGAUGACGGCCUUCGGGGUGUAAACCGCUGUCGCCUGUGACGAAGCGUGAGUGACGGUAAUGAGUAAAGAAGCACCGGCUAACUACGUG
RNAcentral lists this ribosomal RNA (468 nucleotides) under uncultured bacterium. RNAcentral describes it as "partial 16S ribosomal RNA". It matches the Rfam family "Bacterial small subunit ribosomal RNA", at positions 28 to 507 of the family's 1533-position model. The record is from RNAcentral.